ACUUUUGACGGUGGAUCUCUUGGCUCACGCAUCGAUGAAGAACGCAGCCAGCUGCGAUAAGUAGUGUGAAUUGCAGAAUUCAGUGAAUCAUCGAAUCUUUGAACGCAAAUGGCGCUCUUGGGUUCUCCCAGGAGCAUGUCUGUCUGAGUGUCGGACAU
This 158-nucleotide ribosomal RNA is filed under the name Madracis pharensis. RNAcentral describes it as "5.8S ribosomal RNA". It matches the Rfam family "5.8S ribosomal RNA". Rfam says of the family: 5.8S ribosomal RNA (5.8S rRNA) is a component of the large subunit of the eukaryotic ribosome. Lineage: Eukaryota; Metazoa; Cnidaria; Anthozoa; Scleractinia; Pocilloporidae. The record is from RNAcentral.